RNAcentral lists this ribosomal RNA (468 nucleotides) under uncultured bacterium. Its description in RNAcentral is "partial 16S ribosomal RNA". It matches the Rfam family "Bacterial small subunit ribosomal RNA", at positions 28 to 507 of the family's 1533-position model. The record is from RNAcentral.
GACGAACGCUGGCGGCGUGCUUAACACAUGCAAGUCGAACGGAAAGGCCCUGCUUUUGUGGGGUGCUCGAGUGGCGAACGGGUGAGUAACACGUGAGUAACCUGCCCUUGACUUUGGGAUAACUUCAGGAAACUGGGGCUAAUACCGGAUAGGAGCUCCUGCUCCAUGGGGGGGGUUGGAAAGUUUCGGCGGUUGGGGAUGGACUCGCGGCUUACCAGCUUGUUGGUGGGGUAGUGGCUUACCAAGGCUUUGACGGGUAGCCGGCCUGGGAGGGUGGCCGGCGACAUUGGGACUGAGAGACGCAGCAGACGGCUACGGUCGGCAGCAGGCGGAAGUAUUGCACAGCGAGGCCGAGCGUGAUAUAGAGGCGUCGCGUGCGGGAUGACCGCUUUUUGGGUGUAAACCGCUUUCGCCUGAGACGAAGCGUGAGUGACGGUACCGGAUAAAGAAGCACCGGCUAACUACGUG